CGGGGCGUGGCGCAGCCUGGUAGCGCACCUGCUUUGGGAGCAGGGGGUCGGAGGUUCGAAUCCUCUCGCCCCGACCG
RNAcentral lists this transfer RNA (77 nucleotides) under uncultured Rubrobacteraceae bacterium. RNAcentral describes it as "tRNA-Pro-TGG". It matches the Rfam family "tRNA". Rfam says of the family: Transfer RNA (tRNA) molecules are approximately 80 nucleotides in length. Their secondary structure includes four short double-helical elements and three loops (D, anti-codon, and T loops). The record is from RNAcentral. Lineage: Bacteria; Bacillati; Actinomycetota; Rubrobacteria; Rubrobacterales; Rubrobacteraceae.